ACGGCCGCAAGGUUAAAACUCAAAUGAAUUGACGGGGGCCCGCACAAGCGGUGGAGCAUGUGGUUUAAUUCGAUGCAACGCGAAGAACCUUACCUGGUCUUGACAUCCACAGAACUUAGCAGAGAUGCUUUGGUGCCUUCGGGAACUGUGAGACAGGUGCUGCAUGGCUGUCGUCAGCUCGUGUUGUGAAAUGUUGGGUUAAGUCCCGCAACGAGCGCAACCCUUAUCCUUUGUUGCCAGCGGUCCGGCCGGGAAC
RNAcentral lists this ribosomal RNA (256 nucleotides) under Klebsiella pneumoniae. RNAcentral's name for it is "partial 16S ribosomal RNA". It matches the Rfam family "Bacterial small subunit ribosomal RNA", at positions 882 to 1138 of the family's 1533-position model. The record is from RNAcentral. Lineage: Bacteria; Pseudomonadati; Pseudomonadota; Gammaproteobacteria; Enterobacterales; Enterobacteriaceae.